This 497-nucleotide long non-coding RNA is filed under the name Androctonus crassicauda. Lineage: Eukaryota; Metazoa; Arthropoda; Arachnida; Scorpiones; Buthidae. The record is from RNAcentral.
GUUUUUUUUUUUUGAGGCUAUUAUUUCUGACUGGGAUUUGCUAGAUAUCCUUAUGUAUUGUAAAGCCAGUUAAAAUGAAUCUAUAGAUUUUGGAAAAACUAAGUGAAUGGAGAGUUAUAUACAAAAGAAACAACAUGGUUUUCCAAAAGCUGAUAGAUGAAAAGCCAACAAUGUAAUCCAACAUGAGGUUGCACAUCUGUCAAAUCUCAGUCAGAAAUAAUAGCUUUAAAAGAGAAGAAGUAUACGUAGAAUAUACUAAAUGCAUCCAAGUCAGAAAGCUCCAGCAGGAUGUCAGGAAGGGUAAGAUUAACACAGUCCUAGGGGAAAAAAUAUUGGAACAAGAUUUGUGGAUAGACCAACUAGGAGCCAAAAUAAUUCAAAACAUCAGAAGAGAGGACAUGACACUCAUUGCAGGGUUCCUUAACAUUACAGAGAGUGUUGAUGUUAAUGUAUAGCUAUGUGUAGUUUUAGCAACUACACAUGAUAUUAACCAAAAU